CUAUAACAUUAAUACAGUAUAAAGUCGUAAGAACUGUGUGCCAAAUACAAAUAAGAAAAUACCAAAUUAAUUAAAGUAAAAAAAUCUGAAUCCUUACUAAACUACCAUUAUUCUGUUCCUACUAUAUUUUUUUUGUUGGAUAUAGAAACGAUAUAUACGGUCACAUACACUUUAUUUUAAUAAUCACCAGUCAAAAAUAAACCCUUCGCAAACAGAUUGUUUCUUUUUUUUAAGUGAAAAUCUCGUUCAUGUCGGGUAUUUCUGGUGGCUUUUCAUCCCCAGGAUGUAUGCGAGAUGACUCUUUACAUAGUUUAUAAACUGUGUAAAAUAAUUCCACAACUCCGAACAGUAUGUCAAUGAAUGUUACCAGAGAAAUAAUCCAUGCAGUUAAAUUUACAUUUCCAUGCGGUAUGGCAAAAAAAGGAAGUGCAACUUCGAAAUCGUUAUACAAUACAGCAGUAUAUGCAACAAACAAGCUAUCGAUCAGUAUUUCCAUAACUUUAAACAAGCAAACCAUUUCCAUUAACUUCUUAUGGGGGACUGCUGGCUGGUCUUUAUCAUUUCUGUAAACAUAAUGCAUAAAAUACCAAAUUGCAAUAGCCACAAAGAUGGACAUACUUCCAAUAACACUGUACCUCAUCGCUUGUUCUGGCGCGCUUCUAGCAUUUAUAUCGCUUAUUCUAGUAGUGUUCUGCUCUGUUGCUGAUAUUUCGAGAAAGAUGAGUUCAGUUAAGCUAAUUCCAAAUUGAACAAAGAUUCGAAGAAAAUACAGUUUAGCAACAUUUUUAAAAGUCUCACAACCUCCAAAGACGAAGCGAAAAAGGUAAAGAAGAAUAUCUGGAAGUAUUUCCUCCAUUUCUGAAUAAUUGAAUUAUGUUAUUGUCUUGAUUUAUUCGAGAACUUUUAUAUAACAUGCAUGCAGGUGCCCUCCGUGUGGAAAACCACG
Molecule: long non-coding RNA, 946 nt
Filed under: Mytilus galloprovincialis (Mediterranean mussel)
Lineage: Eukaryota; Metazoa; Mollusca; Bivalvia; Mytilida; Mytilidae
Source: RNAcentral